RNAcentral lists this ribosomal RNA (517 nucleotides) under uncultured Glomus. Its description in RNAcentral is "SSU rRNA". It matches the Rfam family "Eukaryotic small subunit ribosomal RNA", at positions 569 to 1088 of the family's 1831-position model. Lineage: Eukaryota; Fungi; Glomeromycota; Glomeromycetes; Glomerales; Glomeraceae. The record is from RNAcentral.
AGCAGCCGCGGUAAUUCCAGCUCCAAUAGCGUAUAUUAAAGUUGUUGCAGUUAAAAAGCUCGUAGUUGAAUUUCGGGGUUAGUAGGCUGGUCGUGCCACAGGUAUGCACUGGUCUUACUGACUUCUCCUUUCUGAAGAACUGUAAUGCCAUUAAUUUGGUGUUGCAGGGAAACAGGACUGUUACUUUGAAAAAAUUAGAGUGUUUAAAGCAGGCUAACGCUUGAAUACAUUAGCAUGGAAUAAUGAAAUAGGACGUUCGAUCCUAUUUUGUUGGUUUCUAGGAUUGACGUAAUGAUUAAUAGGGAUAGUUGGGGGCAUUAGUAUUCAAUUGUCAGAGGUGAAAUUCUUGGAUUUAUUGAAGACUAACUACUGCGAAAGCAUUUGCCAAGGAUGUUUUCAUUAAUCAAGAACGAAAGUUAGGGGAUCGAAGACGAUCAGAUACCGUCGUAGUCUUAACCAUAAACUAUGCCGACUAGGGAUCGGAUGAUGUUAAUUUUUAAUGACUCAUUCGGCGUCC